CAUGCAGCCGAGCGGUAGAAGAUCUUCGGAUCUUUGAGAGCGGCGCACGGGUGCGGAACACGUGUGCAACCUACCUUUAUCAGGGGGAUAGCCUUUCGAAAGGAAGAUUAAUACCCCAUAAUAUAUUAAGUGGCAUCACUUGAUAUUGAAAACUCCGGUGGAUAGAGAUGGGCACGCGCAGGAUUAGAUAGUUGGUAGGGUAACGGCCUACCAAGUCAACGAUCCUUAGGGGGCCUGAGAGGGUGAUCCCCCACACUGGUACUGAGACACGGACCAGACUCCUACGGGAGGCAGCAGUGAGGAAUAUUGGACAAUGGGUGAGAGCCUGAUCCAGCCAUCCCGCGUGAAGGACGACGGCCCUAUGGGUUGUAAACUUCUUUUGUAUAGGGAUAAACCUACUCUCGUGAGAGUAGCUGAAGGUACUAUACGAAUAAGCACCGGCUAACUCCGUGCCAGCAGCCGCGGUAAUACGGAGGGUGCAAGCGUUAUCCGGAUUUAUUGGGUUUAAAGGGUCCGUAGGCUGAUUUGUAAGUCAGUGGUGAAAUCUCACAGCUUAACUGUGAAACUGCCAUUGAUACUGCAAGUCUUGAGUGUUGUUGAAGUAGCUGGAAUAAGUAGUGUAGCGGUGAAAUGCAUAGAUAUUACUUAGAACACCAAUUGCGAAGGCAGGUUACUAAGCAACAACUGACGCUGAUGGACGAAAGCGUGGGGAGCGAACAGGAUUAGAUACCCUGGUAGUCCACGCCGUAAACGAUGCUAACUCGUUUUUGGGGCUUUAAGCUUCAGAGACUAAGCGAAAGUGAUAAGUUAGCCACCUGGGGAGUACGUUCGCAAGAAUGAAACUCAAAGGAAUUGACGGGGGCCCGCACAAGCGGUGGAUUAUGUGGUUUAAUUCGAUGAUACGCGAGGAACCUUACCAAGGCUUAAAUGGGAAAUGACAGGUUUAGAAAUAGACUUUUCUUCG
This 964-nucleotide ribosomal RNA is filed under the name Chryseobacterium shigense. RNAcentral describes it as "bacterial SSU rRNA". It matches the Rfam family "Bacterial small subunit ribosomal RNA", at positions 54 to 1020 of the family's 1533-position model. Lineage: Bacteria; Pseudomonadati; Bacteroidota; Flavobacteriia; Flavobacteriales; Weeksellaceae. The record is from RNAcentral.